This 1312-nucleotide ribosomal RNA is filed under the name metagenome. RNAcentral's name for it is "bacterial LSU rRNA". It matches the Rfam family "Bacterial large subunit ribosomal RNA", at positions 1627 to 2925 of the family's 2925-position model. The record is from RNAcentral.
CCUGGUUCGAGCCGCCCGUACCCCAAACCGACUCAGGUGGUUAGGUAGAGAAUACCAAGGCGAUCGAGUGAAUCGUGGUUAAGGAAUUCGGCAAAAUGCCCCCGUAACUUCAGGAGAAGGGGGGCCCGGAACCUGAAGUGACGAGCUCACUAGGGUGAAGGGCCGCAGAGACCAGGGAGAAGCGACUGUUUACUAAGAACACAGGUCCGUGCGAAGUCGCAAGACGAUGUAUACGGACUGACGCCUGCCCGGUGCUGGAAGGUUAAGAGGACCGGUUAGACCGCAAGGUCGAAGCUGAGAAUUUAAGCCCCAGUAAACGGCGGUGGUAACUAUAACCAUCCUAAGGUAGCGAAAUUCCUUGUCGGGUAAGUUCCGACCUGCACGAAUGGCGUAACGAUUUCUCCACUGUCUCAACCGCGAACUCGGCGAAAUUGCACUACGAGUAAAGAUGCUCGUUACGCGCAGCAGGACGGAAAGACCCCGGGACCUUUACUAUAGCUUGGUAUUGGUGUUCGGUACGGCUUGUGUAGGAUAGGUGGGAGACUGUGAAGCAUGCACGCCAGUGUGUGUGGAGUCAACGUUGAAAUACCACUCUGGUCGUUCUGGAUAUCUAACCUCGGUCCGUGAUCCGGAUCAGGGACAGUGCCUGGUGGGUAGUUUAACUGGGGCGGUUGCCUCCUAAAAGGUAACGGAGGCGCUCAAAGGUUCCCUCAGCCUGGUUGGCAAUCAGGUUUCUAGUGUAAGUGCACAAGGGAGCUUGACUGCGAGAGAGACAUCUCGAGCAGGGACGAAAGUCGGAACUAGUGACCCGGCGGUGGCUUGUGGAAGCGCCGUCGCUCAACGGAUAAAAGGUACCCCGGGGAUAACAGGCUGAUCUUGCCCAAGAGUCCAUAUCGACGGCAUGGUUUGGCACCUCGAUGUCGGCUCGUCGCAUCCUGGGGGUGGAGUUGCUCCCAAGGGUUGGGCUGUUCGCCCAUUAAAGCGGUACGCGAGCUGGGUUUAGAACGUCGUGAGACAGUUCGGUCCCUAUCCGCUGUGCGCGUAGGAAACUUGAGAAGGGCUGACCCUAGUACGAGAGGACCGGGUUGGACGAACCUCUGGUGUGUCAGUUGUCCUGCCAAGGGCACCGCUGAUUAGCUACGUUCGGAAGUGAUAACCGCUGAAAGCAUCUAAGCGGGAAGCACGCUUCAAGAUGAGGUUUCCAUGCACCAUCAGGUGUGAGAGGCUCCCGGCUAGACUACCGGGUUGAUAGGCCAGACGUGGAAGUGCAGCAAUGCAUGUAGCUGACUGGUACUAAUAAGCCGACAACUUG